Lactuca sativa (garden lettuce) is the source of this 2157-nucleotide non-coding RNA. Lineage: Eukaryota; Viridiplantae; Streptophyta; Magnoliopsida; Asterales; Asteraceae. The record is from RefSeq and is a predicted model, not a curated record.
CUAGCUAAGGAGUGAGCGAAACAAGGUGGACUCUAAUCCCAUCAUGAAAUCCCGAAGCACAUCAUCAAAUCAUGAGUCAAAAAAUCCGGUAACACAUCGUGAGUAGAGAAAUCAGGAGACGCAUCAUCAAAUCGCGAGUACAGAAAUUCGGAAUCACAUCAUCAAAUCGUGAGUGCUCAUCACCAAAUCGUGAUAGUGGUUAUCUGCAGAACUCUAAUUUGGAGUGCAUAAAUAACAGCUAGAGAAAGUCUGUUCUCCACACCCACAAAGGCAGAGUCAUCGUCUUACAGAGGUGGCAUGGCUGCAGCAUGAGCCACCUCGAGUUCCAGGAGGGAACAACAACACAUCAGCUGUUGAUCUUUCUUUUUUCAGUUGUAAAUACUAUGAUCACCAAGAUACGAACCAGGUCUCUCCCUUCCUACCUCCACCCUCGCAUCCCAGCAAAACGUUAAUUUGUUUCUUAGAGACCUUAGAAUAAAAUUUCAAAUCAAUCAAAUAUUCAUGUUUUGUUUACUUUCCGUUUUCAAGAUUGAUAUCAUAGCGUUUAUUUGCCCCUUAUAAUCAAACAUGGAUAUUUUUUCUUUUUCUUUAUACAAUAAAAAUUUGAUUAUUUUGAAAAUAACAAUAUUCAGAAACGCUAAGAUCGAGUAUAAUCCAUUGAAUGCUAACUAGGCAUUCUAACUCAUUCGGCCAUUUCAUUAAACUAUGCAUUUUAUUGAGUGACAAUAAAGAUAGUUGUUUGCCUAAAAUAAAAACAGAUGGAGAGUUAAUUGGUUGAUAAUUUGAUAAAACAACCAAUUUACCCAUAAUUUUUAUGCAAAACUAUGCAACUAAGUUUUCUUCAAUUAGCUCCUCAAAGAAUAUGUGCCCUCAAGAAAUUAUUUUACUACAUGACAAGUAAUACGAGUUUUUAUUUGAUUUGCGAGUAAAGCCCUAACUGUUGAUCACAUAUAGGUGAUGAAGCUUGAAAUAUUGAUAACCAUUCUAGUUUUUGUAAUGGCUGGUUGUUUCUUUGGAGAAAUGGGCUAUGUCAGACCAGCGUCUGCUGAUGUGUUAAAAGGAAUGUUUAUUAUAAACAUAGUGGCGAUGGCACCGUUGGCGAUGCCAUUGCACUAUUUGGUGCACUUGUCAUGCAGAAUGAUCCCCACUCCCAAAACUUGUUUGUAAUAUUAACGAUUCUCUAAAAUCUACUCUAGUUUUUCUUAACCUCAAGUUCACCCAACUUUAAUAGGCAUAAUCUCUUUCUCCAUUCGGGACAUUUCCUUACUUGAAAGAUACCAAAUUCAGCCCGCGGCAUCAAUCAUUCUUGAUCAACAUCUGAAUGAUAGCUCUCUGGUACUGUUUGCUUGUUUGCUAUGUCGAACACGUACCAACAUAUCAAGUCGCCAUAUUAGCAACGACAUAUUGCUGCUAAUGUGCCGCUACUAUUCAUCGCUAAUGCCUAUUUGUCGCUGCCAUUGCAUAAAGAGUGGAGUUGGACUUCUCCUGUAACAUCUUUUUUUUAGGUUUGCUUUUGGAUCCUUGAGUUUUGAUUUGUUGCAAGAAGGGUCCUCGAUGUCAAAAUCCAUGACUUUUGGGUGUUGUUCGAGUACGUGGGGCGUACGCCUUGGUACACUGAGCGUACUAUGUCCCGUGCCAGUACGCUACGUGUACUCCGGUACACCGGGCGUACGUGGUUCAGACCAAACCCAAAUAAUUAGGGUUUGUGCAUUAUUUAAACACCAUUACGGCCCCAACAACUUUCCUUUUAUCGGCCUCCAUCCCAAGAUCGACCCUCUUUGCAAACUAUAGUUCAUUUUGAGCAUUUUGAGUUUUUUCGAGUGAUUGUGUGCAUCCAUGGUUGUGAAGAAGGACCUUUAAGGGUUAGCUUUGCUCUCAAGACUUUGGAUCCAACAUUUCCUCUUCAUUGUGCACCGUUUGGAGUUAGCAUGGGGAUUUCUCCAGUCCAACAGCUCGAGCAUUUAUCUGAGUUUUUCAGCAAUUGAUGUACUUCCAGUUCCAAAGGGAAGGGCCCGACGUGAUGGCACUACAUUCUCUCCUCAUGGUUUCCACAUUUGAAAUAAUUUGUAGUCUUAUGAUUUAAUACUAUGAUUGUAUGGAUUCCGAACAAUUAAUGAAUGAUUUGAAUGAUUUUUAAAUGAAAAUUUUUUAUUACUA